GGAUGUCUAACUGCGGUCCGUUAUCCGGAUCCAGGACAGUGUGUGGUGGGUAGUUUGACUGGGGCGGUCGCCUCCUAAAGCGUAACGGAGGCGCGCGAAGGUUGGCUCAGAGCGGUCGGAAAUCGCUCGUUGAGUGCAAUGGCAUAAGCCAGCCUGACUGCGAGACUGACAAGUCGAGCAGAGUCGAAAGACGGCCAUAGUGAUCCGGUGGUCCCGAGUGGAAGGGCCAUCGCUCAACGGAUAAAAGGUACGCCGGGGAUAACAGGCUUA
RNAcentral lists this ribosomal RNA (270 nucleotides) under Ochromonas sp. CCMP1393. RNAcentral's name for it is "partial Bacterial large subunit ribosomal RNA". It matches the Rfam family "Bacterial large subunit ribosomal RNA", at positions 2216 to 2485 of the family's 2925-position model. The record is from RNAcentral. Lineage: Eukaryota; Chrysophyceae; Chromulinales; Chromulinaceae.